GGAGUCUGGUCCGUGUCUCAGUACCAGUGUGGGGGACCUUCCUCUCAGAACCCCUACGCAUCGUAGCCUUGGUGGGCCGUUGCCCCGCCAACUAGCUAAUGCGCCGCAUGCCCAUCCCCUACCGACGGAUCUUUCCCCGCGCAACGAUGCCGACGCGCGGACUACGGGGCAUUAGGCCAAAUUUCUCUGGGUUAUUCCCCUGUAGGGGCAGGUUGCAUACGUGUUACGCACCCUUCCGCCGGUCGCCGCCAGGUAUUGCUACCCGCGAUGCCCCUCGACUUGCAUGUGUUAAGCCUGCCGCUAGCGUUCAUC
This 312-nucleotide ribosomal RNA is filed under the name uncultured Bacteroidales bacterium. RNAcentral's name for it is "partial 16S ribosomal RNA". Lineage: Bacteria; Pseudomonadati; Bacteroidota; Bacteroidia; Bacteroidales. The record is from RNAcentral.